RNAcentral lists this long non-coding RNA (843 nucleotides) under Drosophila guanche. Lineage: Eukaryota; Metazoa; Arthropoda; Insecta; Diptera; Drosophilidae. The record is from RNAcentral.
AGAAUAUCCAAUUCCUGCCAAGGAUAUUUUUCGGUGCUGGAGACAGGUCUUUAAGGAAAAUUUGCGACGGGGGCGAAGCUGUAAAACGGUGCCCCAAGCACCAUUUAUAAUAAAGCCAGAUGCGCAAAACUUUCUUGCGGCAGAAUCAGGAAUAAUAUUUUCAUAGAAACGAUACGAAAUCAACCCUGUUUUUUGUGCGACAGAAAAUUUGGACACCAUAAUUUUGCAUUUGAGUAGUCAGAUCAGCAGAAAAAAUACCAAAAGACCAGCCGAUUAAAUACCGCAGCGAAAGAUACAGUUAAGCCACUAACCAAAUGUAUAGUAGAUUGUCAAUUCAAAGGAAGCGAAACGUCACCGCAGAAUGUGCGUCGGGAAGUCCCAGGCCUCUGCCAACGUCACGGCUACAAGUAUUAGUGCGUGUAGAACACGCAGCUAGAAGUCCCAGCUACAUUUGUAUCAGUGCGUGUAGAGCACGCAGCCAGAAGUCCCAGCUACAUCUGUGUAAGUGCGUGUAGCCAAUGAUUUUUUAGCGCUCCAAACCGGUUCUGGCUUGAUUCACUCGGACACUGCAAGUAUCGUAUGUGUUGGUGCGCUGACUUUCUGAAGUGAGAUGGAACGAAAAUUCGUUUUGAUGAUUUGAUUUUGUUUUCGGGGCUUGGCGUAUGAAACUGACCUACCGCAACAUAUGCAGAAUGAGGGGUGGGGAUUGGUGGCCGGACCUUUGGGGGUUGCAAAAAAUAAAUAUACCAAUAAAAGUUGUUAUUGUAUUUGAAUGCUGUAAUUGUUUUAAAUGCAGAUUUUAUACUGCUUUAUUCAAAAUUGUAUGCAUAUUAUGGAAACGCC